Mangifera indica (mango) is the source of this 1294-nucleotide long non-coding RNA. RefSeq lists it as uncharacterized. The transcript is spliced from 4 exons. NCBI's taxonomy places the organism in Eukaryota, Viridiplantae, Streptophyta, Magnoliopsida, Sapindales, Anacardiaceae. The record is from RefSeq and is a predicted model, not a curated record.
AUUCUUCUGUCAUCUAAAAGUCCUCUUCGCUCUGUUUCUUCAGAGCUAUUCGAUCUUCAUGGUUCGUUCUUCCAAGAGCACGGCUUCGUCCUUCUCCAGAAAUCUUCAUCACCCUAUGGCUUGAUUCUUCUACGUUCUUUAUUAUUGAGAAUAAUAUAUGGGAAGAUCGUGCGCUAAGGGAUUAUGUCUCUGAGAUUGACGCCAUGUUUCAUGGUCGAAGUGAUCAAGACUCUUCUUUUUUUACCAAGACUUCACAGAAUGUUCUUUCUUUGCGCUUCAUACGUGCAAGGUUUUAGCUGCCUGGGGAGUCUCCAUGGAGGCAGUGGUUGAUGGGUAUUCUUCAAGUCAGUGGUGGCAGAUAAUCUGGCUGUGUAAUCUAUUGUAACCAGGACCGAAAUGGGAUAUAAUUGUGAUGAUAGAUGAGUGAAAUGUACUGGGAUAAAGAAGCCCUUAUGCAGGGGGUUUGAGUCCUGGUUUUGUCAUCCGACCUUUGCCAUGACAGGUGCGCUUGCAUGGCAGGUCACACAAAUCUUAAUAAAAUUUCUCUUUUGGUGGUUUUGAGGGGAGUUCGCACGGGAUAGUCCGGGUUCUCCCCUCUGUGUGUGGUGUGUCUGCUCUCCUUUUCAUUGCCUCUAUCUCUUUUCAUUAAAUCUGCUACGAUCGUCCUAAUUCACCCCUGUGCAUGUGCUUGGAUUCAUGAACUUGUUACAAUCUACCCCCAUGCACCAUAUCGGUUGGAUUCAUAAACCUGAUACUAUUUCCGGAUGCACUUGAGUGUUGGAUUCAUAAGCAUCUCAGCUGGAUAAGGCCUUAAACCCAUUCUACAAUCAGAUCCUGUUGCACUAACGCAUUCUGCACUUCUACUCGAAAGAUCGGGAGGUACCUGAAUAUGGUGGUUAGCAAACCUUCAAUUCUGAUGGGUUCCAGAGGCUCAAGCAACUCCCCUCAGUUGGUCCCAGGUUUGGCUCCUCACUAGAUCAACAUUACGAUCAAACCAGCACUCAGCAGCCUACAGCAAACUACAGCAGCAAUUGGUUCACCCUUGAUACUCUUAAGAACUUCACAAUUCAUGAACACAAGGAAUAUAGACGCAGAAGAAGAAAACAACAUCGCAUUGCAAUCAAAGAGCUUUAGAAAUAAUAGUCAUUACAGUAGCCAUCAGAGUAUGUAAUUGUAACUGAAAAUGGAAACAACUGAAGUAAAAGGAAAAAUAGCUAAGCUGGGUUUCGAGAGCCAGCCCUCACCAAGUGUAAUAUAAAAUAUUGAUUCAAUAAAAUGAUUUCUUUCUUCUUUA